UAUAAGUGCAUGAUAAAUGUUCCAUUGCUAUCAUCUCCUCAUUUCAAACCAGGCAGAACAGUAUCCAUAACACAGUUGUGAAAUGAACGUCAAGUGUACAUUUGCGGUCGUAGCAGUGCUAUUAUUAGUCAAUAACAUAGCAGCGCACGUUGGUUAUGGCCCCAUUGGAUACGCUGGCAGUGGAUAUGGUCACGGUGGAUAUGGCGGAUAUGGCGGCGGAGCAGGUAUUGGUGGAAUAGGUGGUUUUGGAGGAAUUUUGUCGUCAGGAUAUGGUAAUCCACGAUUUUGGAUGAAAUACGUCCCUAAACAGUACCAAGGAAUUGUACAGAGAUAUGCUACUGGUAACAUUGCCAGAUCUUUUAUGCAUCAGUGGCUCAAUCAGAAUAAGAAAUAUUAAAAAUGUGGUGUAUGAACUCAAUAUAAACAUUACUCUGUAUAAUAUGAUUUUUAAAUAAAAGCAGACUUUUGGCACUUGA
Molecule: long non-coding RNA, 476 nt
Organism: Mytilus californianus (California mussel)
Lineage: Eukaryota; Metazoa; Mollusca; Bivalvia; Mytilida; Mytilidae
Exons: 2
Source: RefSeq, a predicted model, not a curated record